This 2572-nucleotide long non-coding RNA is filed under the name Homo sapiens (human). RNAcentral's name for it is "HSALNT0073083". The record is from RNAcentral. Lineage: Eukaryota; Metazoa; Chordata; Mammalia; Primates; Hominidae.
UUGAUGAUGGUGAUGUACAGAUGUGUUUUUGGUGUGGAUGUCCUUUCUGUUAGUUUUCCUUCUAACAGACAGGACUCUCAGCUGCAGGUCUGUUGGAAUACCCUGCUGUGUGAGGUGUCAGUGUGCCCCUGCUGGGGGGUGCCUCCCAGUUAGGCUGCUCAGGGGUCAGGGACCCACUUGAGGAGGCAGUCUGCCCGUUCUCAGAUCUCCAGCUGCGUGCUGGGAGAACCCCUGCUCUCUUCAAAGCUGUCAGACAGGGACAUUUAAGUCUGCAGAGGUUACUGCUGUCUUUUUGUUUGUCUGUGCCCUGCCCGCAGAGGUGGAGCCUACAGAGGCAGGCAGGCCUCCUUGAGCUGUGGUGGGCUCCGCCCAGUUGGAGCUUCCCGGCUGCUUUGUUUACCUAAGCAAGCCUGGGCAAUGGCGGGCGCCCCUCCCCCAGCCUUGCUGCUGCCUUGCACUUUGAUCUCAGACUGCUGUGCUAGCAAUCAGGGAGACUCCAUGGGCGUAGGACCCUCCAAGCCAUGUGUGGGAUAUAAUCUCGUGGUGUGCCGUUUUUUAAGCCCUUCGGAAAAGUGCAGUAUUCGGGUGGGAGUGACCUGAUUUUACAGAUGCCGUCCGUCACCCCUUUCUUUGAUUUGGAAAGGGAACUCCCUGACCCCUUGCACUUCCCAAGUGAGGUAAUGCCUCGCCCUGCUUCGGCUCACGCACGGUGCGCGCACCCACUGACCUGCACCCACUGUCUGGCGAGAUGAACCCGGUACCUCAGAUGGAAAUGCAGAAAUCACCGUCUUCUGCGUCGCUCACGCUGGGAGCUGUAGACCGGAGCUGUUCCUAUUCGGCCAUCUUGGCUCCUCUCCUCAGCGGAAUCUAGUUUGUUCCCAAGUUACCAUAUCUCAGAGGCAUAUAAUGCUGUCCAAUUCUCUUGAAAACAAAAAUAAUUCAAGCUCCAAUAAUAAAGAUUUUUCUGCUUUGUUCUUCUGAGUCCCUUGUGCUGAGAAAACUCAUCUAGCAUAUGGAUCCCAUAUUAACAUUUAGUCAUCAUCUUUGCUUAGCACCCUAUUGACUGUGCCAGCUUCUCAGACUUUCCUUGUUUUUAAUGUCCUUCACAGUCCGGAGGAAUACUGGUAUAAAGCCAUCUUCCCUUUCAAGACUCACAUCUCUAGGGACAGAUAAUUAACAUUACUACAAGCUGCCAUCAAGUGCUGAUACAGACUAUGCACAUUGCCACUUAUCUGUGGAGCAGCCAUGCCUCCAAUUUCUUAAGGUACUUCCAGGUCUACUCGGUCAGCUUCUCCAACCCUGGGCGAGGAGUUUGGCUCCGUGGUGAAGGAUGUCAUUGUCACCUUCAAGUCACUUACAUCUCAGAAGUUGGAUACCCAAAGAUGAUGGAGUCUCACUUUAUUGCACAGGCUGGCAUGCAAUAGUGCGAUCUCAGCUCACUGCAACCUCUGCCUCCUGGGUUCAAGCGAUUCUCCAGCCUCAGCCUCAUGAGUAGCUGGGAUUAGAAGCAUGCACCACCACGCCAGGCUAAUUUUUGUAUUUUUAGUAGAGACAGCGUUUCAAUAUGUUGGCCAGGCUGUUCUCAAACUCCUGACCUCUUGAUCCACCUGCCUCAGCCUCCUGAACUGCUGGGAUUACAGGCAUGAGCCACCGCGCCCAGCCAAAUAAGGGAAUUUGUAAGUAAUUAUUGAGAAAACAUUCUAUCAUGUAAUUAAUAGGAAAUACCAUUAAAGUAAACUAAAAUUAAGUGUUUACGUAGGCAUGAUGACUCUGCUGAUUUAUAACAGAACUCAGAUUUCCUAUUUUCCUAAUUUUUCUGACAUUCACACAUCAAAUUUGAUAUCUCUUAAUUCAGUUCAUCUGUAGUCAAAAUUAAGUAUCUUUAGUUUUCUCUUUAAGUCUUUUAGAUCUUUUAGAUCUUUACUAUCUGAAUGUAGGUAUUAUCAUUAACAGUCCCUGCUCUAAUUGUCACUAAUAUCUGAGAAAUAUUAAGGACAUAUUUUGACUAGCAGCAAAAACAUUUUUAUGUUGUCUGUGGUAAGUUCUCCUUUUAUAAAACAAUAUUUAAAGAUAAACAACAUGCUGUUUUUAAAGAAGUAAUUGUCACUAUGCCAAAGAGCCAGCUGGAAAGGAAGAUAAUCACAAAUGAUUAUGACCAUUAUAAUAAUUUGCUUUCUAGAGAAUUAAUUAAAAUGAAAAUACCAAUAUAAUAGUAUUAAAAUUCCUCAUAAGGCUUCAUACCCCACCACUAUCACAUACUAUGAUGUUUUCCUUUUUAGAUGUCAUUCUAAUACUUACCAGUAUAUAUCAUUUAUGGCCCUAAUAUCUACACUUAUUUGUAAUGACAUUAUAUUAUUUUUGUGGGGCAAAUUCAAAAGGUAUUUAAUAAUGUGAUUCCUCUACUACUUACUUCUUCUCUUCCUCUAUCCUUUAAAUGUUAGAUAAUGUAAAGCCUAUUUAAAUGUAAAGGGGGCAUAUAGACAUUCUACUCGAAGAAACUUAUAGAUGAAAAUGCUGGAAGUAUUGAGAAUAGGAAUGUAUAUAGAAGGAGAUGAAAGAAAUAAUUUAAAAU